AGACCCGAAACCCGGUGAUCUAGCCAUGGGCAGGUUGAAGGUUGGGUAACACUAACUGGAGGACCGAACCGACUAAUGUUGAAAAAUUAGCGGAUGACCUGUGGCUGGGGGUGAAAGGCCAAUCAAACCGGGAGAUAGCUGGUUCUCCCCGAAAGCUAUUUAGGUAGCGCCUCGUGAAUUCAUCUCCGGGGGUAGAGCACUGUUUCGGCUAGGGGGCCAUCCCGGCUUACCAACCCGAUGCAAACUGCGAAUACCGGAGAAUGUUAUCACGGGAGACACACGGCGGGUGCUAACGUCCGUCGUGAAGAGGGAAACAACCCAGACCGCCAGCUAAGGUCCCAAAGUCAUGGUUAAGUGGGAAACGAUGUGGGAAGGCCCAGACAGCCAGGAUGUUGGCUUAGAAGCAGCCAUCAUUUAAAGAAAGCGUAAUAGCUCACUGGUCGAGUCGGCCUGCGCGGAAGAUGUAACGGGGCUAAACCAUGCACCGAAGCUGCGGCAGCGACACUAUGUGUUGUUGGGUAGGGGAGCGUUCUGUAAGCCUGUGAAGGUGUGCUGUGAGGCAUGCUGGAGGUAUCAGAAGUGCGAAUGCUGA
This 592-nucleotide ribosomal RNA is filed under the name Salmonella enterica. RNAcentral's name for it is "partial 23S ribosomal RNA". It matches the Rfam family "Bacterial large subunit ribosomal RNA", at positions 711 to 1299 of the family's 2925-position model. The record is from RNAcentral. Lineage: Bacteria; Pseudomonadati; Pseudomonadota; Gammaproteobacteria; Enterobacterales; Enterobacteriaceae.